AUUCAAGUAAGAAAAAAGAUUCCCAGCUGCACAAAGUAUAACAUAAUGCAUGACCACACAUGCCAAGUAAACUAAAAGACACUCAACUUGAUGCAACGAAUCCUUAUACUUAUACUCUGUUUUUUAAUCUUCUUCUUGGGCUUUCUUUUAUUUCUCUUCUUUUACUUAUUGGGCUUUAAACUACGUCUUAGUCGGUUCCUUUUCUCAAACAUGUUAAGGUUUUCUUUCUUCUUGUCGCCUCUAUAUAAAGGCUCUCUUGUAGUUGCAGAACUCAACUUAUUAUUGAAUUUAAAACGGAGCUUUAAGCUUCUCUUCUCUCUUGAAUCUCGGCUAUUCCAAGGAAUCAACAACUUUCAAGUUCGUCUUUGUUCGGUAUUCACAAGAAUCAACGAACUGCAUACACCCCUUUGUUCGGCCAUUCACAUCGAAUCAACGAGCUUAGGUUUUCUAUCAAGUCCCGCUGCGCCACAACUACCUAACGUAAAUG
RNAcentral lists this small RNA (487 nucleotides) under Arabidopsis thaliana (thale cress). Its description in RNAcentral is "ATSL042220". Lineage: Eukaryota; Viridiplantae; Streptophyta; Magnoliopsida; Brassicales; Brassicaceae. The record is from RNAcentral.